UGAACGCUGGCGGCGUGCCUAACACAUGCAAGUCGAACGAAACUGAUUUCAUGAAACUUCGGUAGAUUGGAUGAAAGUUGAGUGGCGGACGGGUGAGUAACACGUGGGCAACCUGCCUCACAGAGGGGGAUAGCAGUUGGAAACGACUGAUAAUACCGCAUAAGCACACAGUACCGCAUGGUACAGGGUGAAAAGAUUUAUCACUGUGAGAUGGACCCGCGUCUGAUUAGCCAGUUGGCAGGGUAACGGCCUACCAAAGCGACGAUCAGUAGCCGACCUGAGAGGGUGACCGGCCACAUUGGGACUGAGACACGGCCCAAACUCCUACGGGAGGCAGCAGUGGGGAAUAUUGCACAAUGGAGGAAACUCUGAUGCAGCGACGCCGCGUGAGUGAAGAAGUAAUUCGUUAUGUAAAGCUCUAUCAGCAGGGAAGAUAGUGACGGUACCUGACUAAGAAGCUCCGGCUAAAUACGUG
This 475-nucleotide ribosomal RNA is filed under the name uncultured bacterium. RNAcentral describes it as "bacterial SSU rRNA". It matches the Rfam family "Bacterial small subunit ribosomal RNA", at positions 30 to 507 of the family's 1533-position model. The record is from RNAcentral.